Molecule: RNase P RNA, 350 nt
Filed under: human gut metagenome
Description: Bacterial RNase P class A
Rfam family: Bacterial RNase P class A
About the family: Ribonuclease P (RNase P) is a ubiquitous endoribonuclease, found in archaea, bacteria and eukarya as well as chloroplasts and mitochondria. Its best characterised activity is the generation of mature 5'-ends of tRNAs by cleaving the 5'-leader elements of precursor-tRNAs.
Source: RNAcentral
AGAAAUGUGAGGAAAGUCCGUGCAUUCAAGGACAGACUGCCAGAGAAACUCUGGACGGCGUGAGUCGGUGGAAAGUGCCACAGAAAUGAACUCGUUCCGCUUAUAAGGUUUAAGACUUACAAUGAACGAAACUGCCGAUGGAUUUAUAUCACAGGCGAUGGUGCAACGGUGAGUUAAGAGCUUCACCAGCAAUAACGAGAGUUAUUGGCUAGGUAAACCCCAGUCGAAUGCAAGAUUAACUUGAAGGUUACAAAGGCUGUCCGCCAACUUCAGACAAAUCGCUAGAGCUUGCGAGCAAUCGCAUUCCCAGACAGAUAAUUAUCUAAAACAGAACACGGCUUAUGGAUUAC